UAGUGAAUAUAGGACGUCCAACUUAACUUGGAGUCCGAACUCUCACUUUCUAACCCUGUGCACUUGUUUGGGAUAGUAACUCUCGCAAGAGAGCGAACUCCUAUUCACUUAUAAACACAAAGUCUAUGAAUGUAUUAAAUUUUAUAACAAAAUAAAACUUUCAACAACGGAUCUCUUGGCUCUCGCAUCGAUGAAGAACGCAGCGAAAUGCGAUAAGUAAUGUGAAUUGCAGAAUUCAGUGAAUCAUCGAAUCUUUGAACGCACCUUGCGCUCCAUGGUAUUCCGUGGAGCAUGCCUGUUUGAGUGUCAUGAAUACUUCAACCCUCCUCUUUCUUAAUGAUUGAAGAGGUGUUUGGUUUCUGAGCGCUGCUGGCCUUUACGGUCUAGCUCGUUCGUAAUGCAUUAGCAUCCGCAAUCGAACUUCGGAUUGACUUGGCGUAAUAGACUAUUCGCUGAGGAAUUCUAGUCUUCGGAUUAGAGCCGGGUUGGGUUAAAGGAAGCUUCUAAUCAGAAUGUCUACAUUUUAAGAUUAGAUCUCAAAUCAGGUAGGACUACCCGCUGAACUUAAGCAUAUCAAUAAGCGGAGGAAAAGAAACUAACAAGGAUUCCCCUAGUAGCGGCGAGCGAAGCGGGAAGAGCUCAAAUUUAUAAUCUGGCACCUUCGGUGUCCGAGUUGUAAUCUCUAGAAAUGUUUUCCGCGUUGGACCGCACACAAGUCUGUUGGAAUACAGCGGCAUAGUGGUGAGACCCCCGUAUAUGGUGCGGACGCCCAGCGCUUUGUGAUACAUUUUCGAAGAGUCGAGUUGUUUGGGAAUGCAGCUCAAAUUGGGUGGUAAAUUCCAUCUAAAGCUAAAUAUUGGCGAGAGACCGAUAGCGAACAAGUACCGUGAGGGAAAGAUGAAAAGCACUUUGGAAAGAGAGUUAACAGUACGUGAAAUUGUUGGAAGGGAAACGCUUGAAGUCAGACUUGCUUGCCGAGCAAUCGGUUUGCAGGCCAGCAUCAGUUUUCCGGGAUGGAUAAUGGUAGAGAGAAGGUAGCAGUUUCGGCUGUGUUAUAGCUCUCUGCUGGAUACAUCUUGGGGGACUGAGGAACGCAGUGUGCCUUUGGCGGGGGUUUCGACCUCUUCAC
This 1129-nucleotide ribosomal RNA is filed under the name Rhodotorula mucilaginosa. RNAcentral's name for it is "eukaryotic LSU rRNA". The stretch from base 532 to 1129 matches the Rfam family "Eukaryotic large subunit ribosomal RNA", at positions 1 to 614 of the family's 3401-position model. The record is from RNAcentral. Lineage: Eukaryota; Fungi; Basidiomycota; Microbotryomycetes; Sporidiobolales; Sporidiobolaceae.